GAGAUUGCCCAGAUGAGAGGUUCAUAAGCAAUUUUUAAGAAGUUCAUCCAUGCCUGGCAGUGGUGACGCAUGCCUUUAAUCCUGGCACUUGGGAGGCAGAGGGAGCUUUGAGCUCGGGUCCCCGGGGACUCAAGCCCUAUGAACUUAAGGCCUUAAUGGCUCCUCACACACCGAAGGGUAGACUGGGAGCCCCUAGUCUGAAAGAAUUACAUCUGUCUCUUCCUAGGAUGGGAAACAAGCGGAGGAAGCCCCGAAGGUGGAGCGCAGAGUGGGCCCCCCGGCUAUGGGUCACUCACCGCAGGCCUGGGAGGGCCGGCUCACUAGCCCUAGCUCAAGGCCCCGGGCUCUGUGAAGCCUCCGCCCUACAGUCAUCACACCCUGAAGCCAUUGGAGCCGGACUUCAACUUGGGAUCCGCCUACUCCGAGGCUUCGCCCUACGACCCGCCACGCUGCAAGGAUACUGAUGUAACUUUGAAGGCUGUUGCUCCUUAGAGAAAGCAAGCAAGAGACGUCGAAUGUCAAACAAGCUAAGAAUGAGGGAUGAGACCAGGGGUGGGGAGCCCAGGAUAACAAGAUGCCUAAAACUUCAGGGUCUAGGUUUGCUUUUCCAGAGCACUCGUAGCUUCAGGCUUUUCUUUUCCAGGGACCCAGAUGCUAAGCUCUCCUCUGCUCUUAAAUAAUAACAAAACCAAA
Molecule: long non-coding RNA, 693 nt
Organism: Mastomys coucha (southern multimammate mouse)
Lineage: Eukaryota; Metazoa; Chordata; Mammalia; Rodentia; Muridae
Exons: 4
Source: RefSeq, a predicted model, not a curated record